AGCGAACGCUGGCGGCAGGCCUAACACAUGCAAGUCGAACGAACCUUUCGGGGUUAGUGGCGGACGGGUGAGUAACACGUGGGAACGUGCCUUUAGGUUCGGAAUAACUCAGGGAAACUUGGUCUAAUACCGAAUGUGCCCUUCGGGGGAAAGAUUUAUCGCCUUUAUAGCGGCCCGCUUCUGAUUAGCUAUGUUGUUGAGGUAAUGGCUCACCAAGGCGACGAUCAGUAGCUGGUCUGAGAGGAUGAUCAGCCACAUUGGGACUGAGACACGGCCCAAACUCCUACGGGAAGCAGCAGUGGGGAAUCUUGCGCAAUGGGCGAAAGCCUGACGCAGCCAUGCCGCGUGAAUGAUGAAGGUCUUAGGAUUGUAAAAUUCUUUCACCGGGGACGAUAAUGACGGUACCAGGAGAAGAAGCCCCGGCUAACUUCGUG
This 434-nucleotide ribosomal RNA is filed under the name uncultured bacterium. RNAcentral describes it as "partial 16S ribosomal RNA". It matches the Rfam family "Bacterial small subunit ribosomal RNA", at positions 29 to 507 of the family's 1533-position model. The record is from RNAcentral.